Long non-coding RNA from Choloepus didactylus (southern two-toed sloth), 909 nucleotides. RefSeq lists it as uncharacterized. The transcript is spliced from 3 exons. The record is from RefSeq and is a predicted model, not a curated record. NCBI's taxonomy places the organism in Eukaryota, Metazoa, Chordata, Mammalia, Pilosa, Megalonychidae.
CCAGAAAAGAAUGCGGUUGCUUUAAAAAUAAAUCUCCACAAAAGCAGCCUGGUAUGUACCCAAAGUGCCAAAAAGGUCGACACUGGGCUAACCAGUGCCGAUCUGCUUUUCAUAAGGACGGCACCUCCCUUUCGGGAAACGGCAAUUGGGGCGGGCUCCCAGCCCCUCACAAAAAGGGAGCAUUCACAAUCCAACAUCAAAAUCUGCAGGCUGUCCCUCCACCAACUCCAAGUCCUCCAUCUUGGAGCUUUCCCCGGCUACAGCAGGGCGCGCAGCAGUAGACCUCGCUGCCAAUGCUGAGGUGAUGGACGAGCACCACUUUGGAUACUGGCCCGACAACUGAAACCGUACCAUGAACCCAGCAAAGAAAAGAAAAUUCCUUUGGGACAUCAAGCUGCCAGUAAUGCAGUUCCAGGGUCUGACGUUGAAGACAACAGUGAUCGGGCCAAAACCCUGAACUAGGGAAGCCCAACAUCCAACUUGGGGUCAGAUAAAAAAGCUGUGUCAAGAUGCAGAAAAACAAGUCCAGCAAGCCAUGCUGCCAGUAACAUGUCCUAACCUGACUGCAGCAAUGUUGGCUCUUAUUGCUGUUGCUUCCUCAGAUGCAUGAGAAAAACCUUCUCAGAACAAAAACAGAAAGAAGCUGCUUGGUCCAUCCUGUCUACAAUGAAGAAACAAAAAUGGGGACAUGUGGGAAACUGAGUCUUCCAUCUUGUCUGAGGCAUAUCUAGGGUGGUGGUUUGGAACGCUAAGCCACAGGCAUGCAUGGAACGCCGUGUGGGCCUGCCCUGUAAAGAUAUGUGUCCUGUGACUAUGACGACAACAUUUACCAUUGUCCUAAACCUAGAUUGUUCCUUCUGAUAUGCAACAGGAUAUAAACAUAGGUAUCUGGUGGGCUCUCCCGAGCCU